RNAcentral lists this signal recognition particle RNA (97 nucleotides) under Rhodospirillales bacterium. RNAcentral describes it as "signal recognition particle sRNA small type". It matches the Rfam family "Bacterial small signal recognition particle RNA". From Rfam's summary of the family: The signal recognition particle (SRP) is a universally conserved ribonucleoprotein involved in the co-translational targeting of proteins to membranes. Lineage: Bacteria; Pseudomonadati; Pseudomonadota; Alphaproteobacteria; Rhodospirillales. The record is from RNAcentral.
GGAGACUGGCGGCGGACGGGCUGCUCGCCAACCCGGUCAGGCCCGGAAGGGAGCAGCCGUAACGAGAUUUGCCCGGGUCGCUUGACCAGUCUCCCAC